Gossypium hirsutum (cotton) is the source of this 107-nucleotide non-coding RNA. Lineage: Eukaryota; Viridiplantae; Streptophyta; Magnoliopsida; Malvales; Malvaceae. The record is from Rfam.
AAACCAUGGUGAGGGCACCUUCUCAAUAGGUCCUUCUAUCUCUCCCACGCAUCAUAAAGUGUUUCUAAAUCCAUCUGCAUAAAAGAAGAAAUAUCAUUCCUUAAUUU